This 230-nucleotide ribosomal RNA is filed under the name uncultured bacterium. RNAcentral describes it as "partial 16S ribosomal RNA". It matches the Rfam family "Bacterial small subunit ribosomal RNA", at positions 103 to 334 of the family's 1533-position model. The record is from RNAcentral.
CGGGUGAGUAACACGUGAGCAACCUGCCCUUGACUUCGGAAUACCAGCUGGAAACAGCUGCUAAUACCGGAUAUGACCUCUUCUCUCCUGGGAAGGGGUGGAAAGCUCCGGCGGUCAGGGAUGGGCUCGCGGCCUAUCAGCUUGUUGGUGAGGUAAUGGCUCACCAAGGCUUCGACGGGUAGCCGGCCUGAGAGGGCGACCGGCCACACUGGGACUGAGAUACGGCCCAG